This 470-nucleotide ribosomal RNA is filed under the name uncultured bacterium. Its description in RNAcentral is "partial 16S ribosomal RNA". It matches the Rfam family "Bacterial small subunit ribosomal RNA", at positions 28 to 507 of the family's 1533-position model. The record is from RNAcentral.
GGUGAACGCUGGCGGCGUGCCUAAGACAUGCAAGUCGAGCGGGGCAGGUUUAUACCUGUUCAGCGGCGGACGGGUGAGUAACGCGUGGGUGACCUACCCGGAAGAGGCGGACAACCUGGGGAAACCCAGGCUAAUCCGCCAUGUGGUCCUGUCCUGUGGGGCAGGACUAAAGGGUGGAUAGCCCGCUUCCGGAUGGGCCCGCGUCCCAGCAGCUAGUUGGUGGGGUAAAGGCCCACCAAGGCGACGACGGGUAGCCGGGCUGAGAGGAUGGGCGGCCACAGGGGCACUGAGACACGGGCCCCACUCCUACGGGGGGCAGCAGUUAGGAAUCGUCCGCAAUGGACGGAAGUCUGACGGAGCGACGCCGCGGGGAGGAGGAAGCCCUUCGGGGUGUAAACUCCUGAACUGGGGACGAAAGCCCUGUGUAGGGGGAUGACGGUACCCAGGUAAUAGCGCCGGCCAACUCCGUG